Molecule: long non-coding RNA, 3262 nt
Organism: Daphnia magna
Lineage: Eukaryota; Metazoa; Arthropoda; Branchiopoda; Diplostraca; Daphniidae
Exons: 3
Source: RefSeq, a predicted model, not a curated record
GCUGAUGAUUCCUUGUUCAAUGGUAUUGUUUCAUUCUUGGUUGCAAUAAUGCCCCCAGCACCGUUAGUAUGGGUAGAUGAUCCCCAUCUUCUCUGCGACCCUGGCCUGUAACACAAUUGAAAAACAACGAGAAGAGAAGAAUGCAGAAGUUGUACAACACUCACUUAUGAAUUGAAUAAGGUUGACAUCUUUCCAUUGGCUUCCGCAACAAGACCCUUUUCUGUAUGGAUCCUAAAAUUUCCGACGAUUGCCCAACCUUCAUCCUGCUACACAAUACUUGCAACAAAUAGGUAAAAUAGAUUUUCAAAAGCAAAGAAACCACUAUUGCUUGUAUCUUGUUCAAAUUGACACAAUUUUCAAGCGAAAUGCGUCGAUAAUUCGCACCACCAAGUUCGCUGCCCAAGUUCGUCACUAUGUAUUGAACAACGAACAAAACAUUAAGAUACAACCCAUGCCCACCAGAAGAAAUCGCAGCAGACGUCAGACUCACGCCAUUUUCACAACAAAAGCUGGGAUUGGUCAGAUUCACAAGGCCACGCCUGCAGGACUUGAAUUGAUGAUUGCCAACAAAUUCUACGUCACGUUUCUCGCCCCCUUUCCAGCGACUGUUUAUCAAACAUUGUUUGCUGUCCCAAAUUGCAAAAAAAAGGCAAAGCUUUGCUAUUUCCAUUUCCAAAUGAGGCAAACAGUGACAAAUAAACUGUGACGCAAUUGGCCAAAAAGAGUCGACAGAGCUCAGGUCACGGCCCCCUGUGCGAAACGAGUCGUUCAAAACAGACGACGCCAUUAUCGAUUGUGCUCAAAAUAACGUUUGACCCAAAAUUCUGGUCCAAAAUUCGUAACGUCAUUCGUUUGGUUUUCAUCACUGUGUGACGCAUGCCAAUAGACUGAGGGUUUGGCCUUUUUGUUUUUUCUUUCACGUACCCGGAAAAGUUUGCCGGUGCAUGUAAAUUCUGUUAUGAACGAGAAUCGUAGUGCUUCAUGAUUGUACCGCCCAAACAUCCACAAAACAAACAAAAUCAACAGCCUUGAGAGCAAACUUUGCUCGUUUCGUUAAAUGAAAAAAAAAAAAAAAACAACACAACAGCCAAAACCCUUUUGUCUGAACAAUAUUUACCUGCUGCGCAACAAACAUUAUGCAGCAUCAGCUAUUAUUGGCGCGAAAAAUAAAAAUUCCAAGGUUGCCUCAUAGCUGCGUCGUCAUCGUGCAUGAGAUAACUUUUACGGACGGGUGAUACUGUUGGAACGAGUUUGCAUAAGAAUUUCAAAACGUCACAUUGAUGUCUCAAGCUACAAUCCAUUUUGAAGGUUUGUACCAUGGUCUAUGGUUUGUACUGCUGUUUACUUCUGUGUUACUUGGAUUUGCACCUGUUUCAUUCUACUGUCUGCAGUGUAUGCUGUUGCAUUACGUUAAAGAUCAGCAAAAGUAGUGAAAACGUUCAUAAACAACCUGAAGUGUCCACUGUCCAGUUCAGAGAAUUUCUAGAAUUAUGUCACCAGAUUUUUUUUUUUUUUGCCUUUUCUUUUGUUAUUUUUCUAGUCUGAUAUGAAAUGUGCAACCCAAGAGUGUUGUUUUCAAAGAAAACGUUGAAGACUGGCCAGCAAUUUCAAGGCCAAUGCAAGAAACCGAACGAGCUGCCGCCUUGCGACAUUUAGGCGAGACGAAAGCUUCUGCUUCUCUGAUCUAGACACACAUGGUUUUGAUAUUCAAAUUCUAUCGAGGUCAAGUUAUUUGUAUACCCGUCUAGGAUGCUGAGCUUUGCUCUCAGGCAUUUACUUUUUUUUUGUUUUAUUUUUGUACACCUAAGGCGUCAUCGGAAAUGCUUACGUACCUAAAAAUCGACCGCUAGAUGGUUCUACAAGUUUCGCUAUUCAACUAGCAGAUGGCGCUGGAGAGCUAUCCCUUCGGAAAAAAAGACUCCAAAACAAACUAUAAUUGACAUUUUCUACUUUCUUAUUACGAAAGGCGAUGGCAACAAGACUUGACGGAAAAUGUUCGAUAAAAUCGGUCAGAUACGCAGACCCAAUCGACUUCUUCUGCCUAUAAAAGGAGUGAAUCUUAGUGGCCAUUAUUAUAGUGCUGCGCAACGUUCUCCCCUGCUGGGUUCGCCGUUGGGCGUUUCACUAGGUUUGCUGCUUCAUUCAUGCCGCAAGAUUCGCUUUUGCAGCCACUCAAGAACAAUUUGAAUAUAUGGUAAGCGACAGCAGACGCACACAGAAAUGUUUCAACAAGAAAAACAAAAAACAAAAAACGACGGCAUAAUAAUUCUUGCCUCAAGGUCGAUCCCGAGUGGUGUGGGUUUUUUGUUCCGCAGUCAGCAUAUAGUUAACGGAUAAUAUAACGGCCGGUCAGGUUAUUUCUCUCUUUCCCAAAGUUGGCUAAAGAAAAAAAAAAAAAAAACGUUUCAGAGAAAAAACAUAAAACUUGAACAUUAAAAAUGAAGCCAAGAAAAAGAAAAAAAUAUAUAUAUAGUUUCCCCUUUGGUCGAAUAACUCGUAAAUCAGUCAUCCCGAAUGUACAGGAGUAACAAAAACCCGGAGGCUACACGUUACCGAGACGAUUUGUUUAAAAUCUUUUUUUUUUUUCCAACGACGGGGGAUCAAAGGCUUUCAAAGAAGAAGAAGAAGAAAAAAAGGGACAGUUUUGAUAAUCGAAGAAGAGAUUCUUAAACAUCUUUCUCAACUGGAAAAUUUCAAAAUUUUGUUACAAAUUCUAGACGAAACAUUCCCCCCUUCCAAGGAAUGGUUCAACGAUACGCCGAGGAUGCGAUGCGACACAAGUCAAAAUUCUUUUUCAACAGCAAAAGAAACAACUGAAAAUUGGUAUUUCAUUUUGUGUGUUUGUUUUUUUUUUUUUUCUUCAGGAAGAACGAGCCGGUUAUGGGAACUCGCCACGUAAUGUUUAACGAGGUUUUGCGGUCCUACGCACUCCCCCCAUGAAAAAAAUAAAACUUUCGUCCAUUUUUUCUAUUUCUUUUUUUUUUCAUAUGAGAGACGAUGACUGUCAUAAAUCAGCUUGACUCUAUAUACACAUUCCAAAGGGUAAAAAAGAAGAAAUUACCUUACGUACGGGAAUGAUAUGCAGUCAAGGCUUUUUCCCCAUUUAAAAAAAAACUGCAAACGUUUAAGAAUUUUUAUAAAUGAAGAAUCUCAUCGAAUACGAUAUCUUUCCUGCAUUGCCCUUGUGUUCGUGAGAAGUUAAACGUCCUAGUUUGUAACACAUUUUGUAACCGAGAAUGAAGAAAGACAAUAGUUUUUUGUU